AACAAGGCGUACCUGCGGACCUGCGGAGGGAUCAUUACAGAGUUCAUGCCCUCACGGGUAGAUCUCCCACCCUUGCGUAUUUAUACCUUUGUUGCUUUGGCAGGCCGCCUGGGCUCGCGCCUGGCCACCGGCUCCCGGGCUGGUGCGUGCCUGCCAGAGGAUCUCCAAACUCUAGUUAUCAGUGUUGUCUGAGUACUAUACAAUAGUUAAAACUUUUAACAACGGAUCUCAGAUCGGAAG
This 240-nucleotide unclassified non-coding RNA is filed under the name soil metagenome. RNAcentral describes it as "partial contains 5.8S ribosomal RNA, internal transcribed spacer 2, and large subunit ribosomal RNA". The record is from RNAcentral.